This 1074-nucleotide ribosomal RNA is filed under the name human gut metagenome. Its description in RNAcentral is "bacterial SSU rRNA". It matches the Rfam family "Bacterial small subunit ribosomal RNA", at positions 8 to 1065 of the family's 1533-position model. The record is from RNAcentral.
AGAGUUUGAUCCUGGCUCAGAUUGAACGCUGGCGGAACGCUUUACACAUGCAAGUCGAACGGUAACGUGGGGAGGAGCUUGCUCCACCCCGACGACGAGUGGCGAACGGGUGAGUAAUACAUCGGAACGUGUCCGCUCGUGGGGGACAACCAGCCGAAAGGUUGGCUAAUACCGCAUGAGUUCUACGGAAGAAAGAGGGGGACCCGCAAGGGCCUCUCGCGAGCGGAGCGGCCGAUGACUGAUUAGCCUGUUGGUGAGGUAACGGCUCACCAAAGCAACGAUCAGUAGCUGGUCUGAGAGGACGACCAGCCACACUGGGACUGAGACACGGCCCAGACUCCUACGGGAGGCAGCAGUGGGGAAUUUUGGACAAUGGGCGCAAGCCUGAUCCAGCUAUUCCGCGUGUGGGAUGAAGGCCCUCGGGUUGUAAACCACUUUUGUAGAGAACGAAAAGACAUCUUCGAAUAAAGGAUGUUGCUGACGGUACUCUAAGAAUAAGCACCGGCUAACUACGUGCCAGCAGCCGCGGUAAUACGUAGGGUGCGAGCGUUAAUCGGAAUUACUGGGCGUAAAGGGUGCGCAGGCGGUUGAGUAAGACAGAUGUGAAAUCCCCGAGCUUAACUCGGGAAUGGCAUAUGUGACUGCUCGACUAGAGUGUGUCAGAGGGAGGUGGAAUUCCACGUGUAGCAGUGAAAUGCGUAGAUAUGUGGAAGAACACCGAUGGCGAAGGCAGCCUCCUGGGACAUAACUGACGCUCAGGCACGAAAGCGUGGGGAGCAAACAGGAUUAGAUACCCUGGUAGUCCACGCCCUAAACGAUGUUAACUAGUUGUUGGGAUGUAACAAUCUCAGUAACGCAGCCAACGCGAGAAGUUAACCGCCUGGGAAGUACGGUCGCAAGACUAAAACUCAAAGGAAUUGACGGGGACCCGCACAAGCGGUGGAUGAUGUGGAUUAAUUCGAUGCAACGCGAAAAACCUUACCUACCCUUGACAUGUCAGGAAGCUCUUGUAAUGAGAGCGUGCCCGCAAGGGAGCCUGAACACAGGUGCUGCAUGGUUGUCGUCAGCUCGUGU